GAUGAACGCUAGCGGCAGGCCUAACACAUGCAAGUCGAGGGGCAGCACAGACCCAGCAAUGUUUUGGUGGCGACCGGCGGACGGGUGCGUAACGCGUAUGCAACCUACCUUUAACAGGGGGUUCACGGACAGAAAUUUCCACUAAUACCCCAUAAUAUCGAUCAAGGCAUCUCGUUUGUUUGAAACCCCCGCUUGUUCAAGAUGGGCAUGAGGUGUAUUAGGUAGUGGGUGAGGUAAUGGCUCACCAAGACGACGACACAUAGGAGGACUGAGAGGAUAGCCCACCACACUGAUACUGAGACACGGACCAGACUCCUACGGGAGGCAGCAUAAAUGAAUAUUAGUCAAUGGGGGCAACCCUGAACCAGCCAUGCCGCGUGCAGGAGGACGGCUCUAUGAGUUGUAAACUGCUUUUAAACAGGGAUAAAGCACAGUAUGUAUACUGUGUUGAAGUUACUGUAAGAAUAAGGAUCGGCUAACUCCGUGCCAGCAGCCGCCGUAA
This 502-nucleotide ribosomal RNA is filed under the name uncultured bacterium. RNAcentral describes it as "partial 16S ribosomal RNA". It matches the Rfam family "Bacterial small subunit ribosomal RNA", at positions 28 to 523 of the family's 1533-position model. The record is from RNAcentral.